UUUUUUAAACUUAUAUAUUGGUUAAAAUUUAUUGAGUGAUUUCGAUUCUGCACUAUAAAUAAAGUAAAGGGUGAAAAAUAAGGCAAUACAAAUAGAAUAUGCUCAAUCUCUACCUCUUAUAUAUAAGUUGAGACAUUAUACAAAUAUAAACUGCAGUGUACAAAACAUUAAUAUGACACAAUACAAUAGAAAUUGAGAUACUGUAUCAAGCAAGUAAAAUGAAAAUUGUGUCUAUCAUAGAUCAGGCUUUAGCUGACCUUCCACAAACUCUAGAGUUUCCUUGUAGUAUGAGAACUGGUACUUGUAUUAAACUGAUUUCAUGCUUUUCUACUUGUAUAUGGCACAUUAUGUGCGCCAAUUACUUGGUAUUGGGUAUAAAGUCCCGACCAAUUUUGAGUAUAACUUUCGGUGGCCUUUUUAAGUUGAAAUAAGUUGCUCUUCUAUGAGUCUUAAACAAUGCUGCAAUUGAUUUGUUGUACAAUUGUACAUGUCAGCAACUUGAUAUAAAGCAAUUAUAUAAAUAUAAAAGAAGCUUCUUCAAGAACAUAAGUAUAUAAGUAUAUUUAAAUUUCUUGGAAUGUGGUGUUGCAUUAGUUUAGCAAAAUAUAAAGUGCAUCCAGUUCUAUGUACAACAGAAAUUUAAUUAGUAAGCUAUCUGUGUAUAAGAGGCAUAAUUGACUAUAUCAAAGUUAUAAUACUAC
Molecule: long non-coding RNA, 701 nt
Filed under: Trifolium pratense (red clover)
Lineage: Eukaryota; Viridiplantae; Streptophyta; Magnoliopsida; Fabales; Fabaceae
Description: long non-coding RNA (TPRA_LNC008654)
Source: RNAcentral